This is a long non-coding RNA of Camponotus floridanus (Florida carpenter ant), 521 nucleotides long. RefSeq lists it as uncharacterized. The transcript has 3 exons. NCBI's taxonomy places the organism in Eukaryota, Metazoa, Arthropoda, Insecta, Hymenoptera, Formicidae. The record is from RefSeq and is a predicted model, not a curated record.
ACGAUAAUAUUUAAUCGAUAAGUGCAAAAAAGGGGAGGAGGAGCGCACGUCGUCGAUUUUUUCACAGUCAUAUGUGUUCUAGAGUUCGCAGAGAGAUGAUAUGUGUAACAACACAAUAUUUUAGUCGUAACAGAAUGCUUCUGCUAGUUAUGGGCUUGUGGCCCUAUCAACAGUCAAAAUUUGAUCGACUUCGAUUUAUUUUCUUCCUUAGUAUUUUGAUCUCUGCUGUUUUAUUUCAAUUUACUACAUUUUUGAAUUCAAAGUACACUGCUGAUUUUGUCGUCAAGAUUUUAUCUAGUGCUCUCUUUUUCACUACCUUUGUUAUAAAAUAUAUAUUUUUCGCUAUUAAUACCGAAACUCAAAUCUUUCUGACAUUCAAAGACGGUAUAACAAAUUGUUGGACUAACAGGUAAAAGAUUUACUGACACAACUUCAACAUGUGUACGAUCAACUAAAAGAUGAAUAUGAAAACGCUAUCGUUGAAAAAUAUGGCUAUAAUGCGAAAUGUGUUACGCUUAUGC